GACAGAGGAGCCAAGCGUUGUCCGGACUGACUGGGCGUAAAGCGCCCGCGGGCGGCCGUGCACGUGGGGUGUGAAAGCGCUCGGCUUAACUGAGCGAGGCCAUCCCAUACGGCGCGGCUCGAGCCGUCCAGAGGCCGGUGGAAUUGCCGGUGUAGUGGUGAAAUGCGCAGAUAUCGGGAGGAACACCAAUGGCGAAGGCAGCUCGCUGGGACGUUACUGACGCUGAGACGCGAAAGCGUGGGGAGCAAACAGG
Molecule: ribosomal RNA, 253 nt
Filed under: uncultured bacterium
Lineage: Bacteria
Description: partial 16S ribosomal RNA
Rfam family: Bacterial small subunit ribosomal RNA
Source: RNAcentral